CAGUCGCCACGGUAAUACAGAGGGUGCGAGCGUUAAUCGGAAUUACUGGGCGUAAAGCGCGCGUAGGUGGUUUGUUAAGUUGGAUGUGAAAGCCCCGGGCUCAACCUGGGAACUGCAUCCAAAACUGGCAAGCUAGAGUACGGUAGAGGGUGGUGGAAUUUCCUGUGUAGCGGUGAAAUGCGUAGAUAUAGGAAGGAACACCAGUGGCGAAGGCGACCACCUGGACUGAUACUGACACUGAGGUGCGAAAGCGUGGGGAGCAAACAGGAUUAGAUACCCGCGUAGUCCCUGUCUCUUAUAC
RNAcentral lists this ribosomal RNA (301 nucleotides) under uncultured bacterium. RNAcentral describes it as "partial 16S ribosomal RNA". It matches the Rfam family "Bacterial small subunit ribosomal RNA", at positions 509 to 807 of the family's 1533-position model. The record is from RNAcentral.